GACGAACGCUGGCGGCGUGCUUAACACAUGCAAGUCGAACGGAAAGGCCCCUUUGCGGUACUCGAGUGGCGAACGGGUGAGUAACACGUGAGUAACCUGCCCUUGACUUCGGGAUAACUUCAGGAAACUGGGGCUAAUACCGGAUAGGAAUCCUUGCUGCAUGGUGGGGGUUGGAAAGCUUCGGCGGUUUUGGAUGGACUCGCGGCUUAUCAGCUUGUUGGUGGGGUAGUGGCUUACCAAGGCUUUGACGGGUAGCCGGCCUGAGAGGGCGACCGGCCACAUUGGGACUGAGAUACGGCCCAGACUCCUACGGGAGGCAGCAGUGGGGAAUAUUGCACAAUGGGCGGAAGCCUGAUGCAGCAACGCCGCGUGCGGGAUGACGGCCUUCGGGUUGUAAACCGCUUUCAGCAGGGGCGAAGCUUGUGGUGACGGUACCUGCAGAAGAAGCACCGGCUAACUACGUG
This 464-nucleotide ribosomal RNA is filed under the name uncultured bacterium. Its description in RNAcentral is "partial 16S ribosomal RNA". It matches the Rfam family "Bacterial small subunit ribosomal RNA", at positions 28 to 507 of the family's 1533-position model. The record is from RNAcentral.